Populus trichocarpa (black cottonwood) is the source of this 1076-nucleotide long non-coding RNA. RefSeq lists it as uncharacterized. The record is from RefSeq and is a predicted model, not a curated record. The transcript is spliced from 2 exons. NCBI's taxonomy places the organism in Eukaryota, Viridiplantae, Streptophyta, Magnoliopsida, Malpighiales, Salicaceae.
UGAGUCCAAAGUGCUGCUUUCAAGCCUGUGCAACCCCAAGAAUGGACCACCAAAAGCUCAAGCACUUGGGGCAAAGAAAACAUAGCACAGCCCACAUAUAAAGCUCAGCUCAGCUUCUGUCAGCCUUAUUCUCAACUGGGAUGUUCUCUUGCAUUUUCUGCUGCAAAUACCCUGCUGCUCAUUCUUGGCCAUUUUCCUUUACUCUCUCACCAGCCUACUUGAUCAUAUCCACGACAUCAUCACUGCCAAAACCAUCUUCUCUCCCUACAAAAACUGACCUCACUGUCCAAACAAUCAUGGCCAUUCCAGCAAGCCCCAUCAUUGUAGCAAAACCAGAGCGGUAGCACCAACAAGCACAAGGGGAGCACCAAGUAUUAAGGGUCUAAAGAUCAACAAGAGAGGUGAGGUUAUUAAAAGCAGUGUCAAGGAUGCCAGGAAACUGAGCCCUGACAUGCCAAGAAGUGGGCCGCCUGUUGUCAAGCAAGCUGCUGAUGCAUAGACCAAUGAGCUGCCUGAGAGCUUGUGAGAACCAGCAGAGAGCUGCUGUUGUCUUGGGUGAUGACUAGGAUCUGCCAUUGAUUGGUGUGUUACAUCUCUUUGGUUUGGGUUCUCACUGGCCCUGUGGGGUGGGGGGUGUUAACGUGUUAGGUCAUGAGACUCACCAGGCAGGUGUUUCAGUCAGUCAGUCAGUCGCACGUUGCUCACCAGGUGGACAACACAAGCCUACAAAAAUUUCCUCAUCCAGUGGCAAUGGCACCAUUUUCAGCGUCGCAAUGUGCCAACCGGUGCAUCAAUGCCAGUAAUCAUAUCUAUCCAUAAUGCUAUAGAAAUAAACAGAAAUGAAAAGGGGCUAGUGUUUGUCACGUGAAGCGAAAGGUUUUUUUUUUCCAUGACAAAACAUUAUUUCAUGUUAUUAUGAUAUCACAAGUAAAAGACAGAGAAAUAGAUUAAAAAUUUUCAAUAAACGAAUACUUGGCGUAACAUCACUUAAGAGAGCAUCUAAAGCUGGAGGCAGAGAUCUCCAAAAUAUCCAGGUGCAAAUUCGUUGACAACUCAAAUUUCAAUUAAUACAAAAU